Molecule: ribosomal RNA, 253 nt
Filed under: uncultured bacterium
Lineage: Bacteria
Description: partial 16S ribosomal RNA
Rfam family: Bacterial small subunit ribosomal RNA
Source: RNAcentral
UACGUAGGGGGCAAGCGUUGUCCGGAAUCAUUGGGCGUAAAGCGCGUGUAGGCGGCCCGGUAAGUCCGCUGUGAAAGUCGGGGGCUCAACCCUCGAAUGCCGGUGGAUACUGUCGGGCUAGAGUACGGAAGAGGCGAGUGGGAUUCCUGGUGUAGCGGUGAAAUGCGCAGAUAUCAGGAGGAACACCAAUUGCGAAGGCAGCUCGCUGGGACGUUACUGACGCUGAGACGCGAAAGCGUGGGGAGCAAACAGG